CCUACGGGUGGCAGCAGUGGGGAAUAUUGCACAAUGGGGGAAACCCUGAUGCAGCGACGCCGCGUGAGUGAAGAAGUAUUUCGGUACGUAAAGCUCUAUCAGCAGGGAAGAAAAUGACGGUACCUGACUAAGAAGCCCCGGCUAACUACGUGCCAGCAGCCGCGGUAAUACGUAGGGGGCAAGCGUUAUCCGGAUUUACUGGGUGUAAAGGGAGCGUAGACGGCAGCGCAAGUCUGGAGUGAAAUCCCAUGGCUUAACCAUGGAACUGCUUUGGAAACUGUGCAGCUAGAGUGCAGGAGAGGUAAGCGGAAUGUCUAGUGUAGCGGUGAAAUGCGUAGAGAUUAGGAGGAACACCAGUGGCGAAGGCGGCUUACCGGACUGUAACUGACGUUGAGGCUCGAAAGCGUGGGGAGCAAACAGGAUUAGAUACCCGUGUAGUC
This 440-nucleotide ribosomal RNA is filed under the name uncultured bacterium. RNAcentral's name for it is "partial 16S ribosomal RNA". It matches the Rfam family "Bacterial small subunit ribosomal RNA", at positions 338 to 795 of the family's 1533-position model. The record is from RNAcentral.